AUUGAACGCUGGCGGCAGGCUUAACACAUGCAAGUCGAGCGGUAGCACAGGGGAGCUUGCUCCCUGGGUGACGAGCGGCGGACGGGUGAGUGAUGUCUGGGAAACUGCCUGAUGGAGGGGGAUAACUACUGGAAACGGUAGCUAAUACCGCAUAACGUCGCAAGACCAAAGAGGGGGACCUUCGGGCCUCUUGCCAUCAGAUGUGCCCAGAUGGGAUUAGCUAGUAGGUGGGGUAAUGGCUCACCUAGGCGACGAUCCCUAGCUGGUCUGAGAGGAUGACCAGCCACACUGGAAAUGAGACACGGUCCAGACUCCUACGGGAGGCAGCAGUGGGGAAUAUUGCACAGUGGGCGCAAGCCUGAUGCAGCCAUGCCGCGUGUGUGAAGAAGGCCUUCGGGUUGUAAAGCACUUUCAGCGAGGAGGAAGGUGGUGAGCUUAAUACGUUCAUCAAUUGACGUUACUCGCAGAAGAAGCACCGGCUAACUCCGUG
RNAcentral lists this ribosomal RNA (490 nucleotides) under uncultured bacterium. RNAcentral describes it as "partial 16S ribosomal RNA". It matches the Rfam family "Bacterial small subunit ribosomal RNA", at positions 30 to 507 of the family's 1533-position model. The record is from RNAcentral.